AACGAACGCUGGCGGCACGCUUAACACAUGCAAGUCGAACGGCAGCGGCACCUUCGGGUGGCCGGCGAGUGGCGAACGGGUGAGUAACACGUGGAGACCUGCCCUAGGGUACGGGACAACAGUUGGAAACGACUGCUAAUACCGUAUACGUCCUACGGGAGAAAGAUUUAUUGCCCUUUGGAGGGGUCCGACGUCGGAUUAGCUUAGUUGGUAGGGUAAAGGCCUACCAAGGCGACGAUCCGUAGCUGUUCUUAGAGGAAGAUCAGCCACACUGGGACUGAGACACGGCCCAGACUCCUACGGGAGGCAGCAGUGGGGAAUAUUGCGCAAUGGGGGGC
RNAcentral lists this ribosomal RNA (338 nucleotides) under uncultured Magnetococcaceae bacterium. Its description in RNAcentral is "bacterial SSU rRNA". It matches the Rfam family "Bacterial small subunit ribosomal RNA", at positions 29 to 379 of the family's 1533-position model. The record is from RNAcentral. Lineage: Bacteria; Pseudomonadati; Pseudomonadota; Magnetococcia; Magnetococcales; Magnetococcaceae.